Molecule: ribosomal RNA, 446 nt
Filed under: uncultured bacterium
Lineage: Bacteria
Description: bacterial SSU rRNA
Rfam family: Bacterial small subunit ribosomal RNA
Source: RNAcentral
UCGAGGAUCUUCGGCAAUGGACGCAAGUCUGACCGAGCGACGCCGCGUGCGGGAUGAAGGCUUUCGGGUUGUAAACCGCUGUCAGUGGGGAGGAAAUUUAUGAGGGUUCUCUCUCAUAAUUGACCUAUCCGCAGAGGAAGCAAGGGCUAAGUUCGUGCCAGCAGCCGCGGUAAGACGAACCUUGCAAACGUUAUUCGGAAUCACUGGGCUUAAAGGGUGCGUAGGCAGUGCAGAAAGUCGGGUGUGAAAUCCCUCAGCUCAACUGAGGAAUUGCGCCCGAAACUGCUGUGCUAGAGGAAUACAGAGGUGAGCGGAACUUAGGGUGGAGCGGUGAAAUGCGUUGAUAUCCUAAGGAACACCGGUGGCGAAAGCGGCUCACUGGGUAUUUUCUGACGCUGAGGCACGAAAGCUAGGGGAGCAAACGGGAUUAGAUACCCCGGUAGUCC